This 512-nucleotide ribosomal RNA is filed under the name uncultured bacterium. Its description in RNAcentral is "partial 16S ribosomal RNA". It matches the Rfam family "Bacterial small subunit ribosomal RNA", at positions 28 to 523 of the family's 1533-position model. The record is from RNAcentral.
GACGAACGCUGGCGGCGUGCCUAAUACAUGCAAGUCGAGCGGAACUGGGGGAGCUUGCUCCUUCCAGUUUAGCGGCGGACGGGUGAGUAACACGUGGGCAACCUGCCCUGCAGAUCGGGAUAACUCCGGGAAACCGGUGCUAAUACCGAAUAGUUUGGCGCCUCUCCUGAGGCGCCACGGAAAGACGGUUUCGGCUGUCACUGCAGGAUGGGCCCGCGGCGCAUUAGCUAGUUGGUGGGGUAACGGCUCACCAAGGCGACGAUGCGUAGCCGACCUGAGGGGGUGACCGGCCACACUGGGACUGAGACACGGCCCAGACUGCUACGGGAGGCAGAAGUAGGGAAUCUUCAGCAAUGGACGCAAGUCUGACGGAGCAACGCCGCGUGAGUGACGAAGGUUUUCGGAUCGUAAAACUCUGUUGUGAGGGAAGAACACGUACCAACUAACUAUUGGUACCUUGACGGUACCUCACCAGAAAGCCACGGCUAACUACGUGCCAGCCGCCGCCGUAA